This 253-nucleotide ribosomal RNA is filed under the name uncultured bacterium. RNAcentral describes it as "partial 16S ribosomal RNA". It matches the Rfam family "Bacterial small subunit ribosomal RNA", at positions 524 to 776 of the family's 1533-position model. The record is from RNAcentral.
UACGAAGGGGGCUAGCGUUGUUCGGAAUCACUGGGCGUAAAGCGCACGUAGGCGGAUUGUUAAGUGAGGGGUGAAAUCCCAGGGCUCAACCCUGGAACUGCCUCUCAUACUGGCAAUCUCGAGUUCGAGAGAGGUAAGUGGAAUUCCGAGUGUAGAGGUGAAAUUCGUAGAUAUUCGGAGGAACACCAGUGGCGAAGGCGGCUUACUGGAUCGAUACUGACGCUGAGGUGCGAAGGCUAGGGUAGCGAAAGGG